AGAGUUUGAUCAUGGCUCAGAAUCAACGCUGGCGGCGUGCCUAACACAUGCAAGUCGAACGAGAAAGGGUAGCAAUACCUGAGUAAAGUGGCGCACGGGUGAGUAACACGUGACUAACCUACCCUGGAGUGGGGGAUAACUGAGGGAAACCUUAGCUAAUACCGCAUAACACCUACGGGUCAAAGGAGCAAUUCGCUUCAGGAGGGGGUCGCGGCCGAUUAGUUAGUUGGCGGGGUAAUGGCCCACCAAGACUGUGAUCGGUAUCCGGCCUGAGAGGGCGCACGGACACACUGGAACUGAAACACGGUCCAGACUCCUACGGGAGGCAGCAGUGGGGAAUUUUGCGCAAUGGGGGAAACCCUGACGCAGCAACGCCGCGUGGAGGAUGAAGUACUUCGGUACGUAAACUCCUUUCGAUCGGGACGAUUAUGACGGUACCGGAAGAAGAAGCCCCGGCUAACUUCGUGCCAGCAGCCGCGGUAAUACGAGGGGGGCAAGCGUUGUUCGGAAUUAUUGGGCGUAAAGGGUGCGUAGGCGGUUUUGUAAGUCUUGUGUGAAAUCUUCAGGCUCAACUUGAAGACUGCACGAGAAACUGCAGGGCUUGAGUGUGGGAGAGGUGAGUGGAAUUCCUGGUGCAGCGGUGAAAUGCGUAGAUAUCAGGAGGAACACCUGUGGCGAAAGCGGCUCACUGGACCACAACUGACGCUGAUGCACGAAAGCUAGGGGAGCAAACAGGAUUAGAUACCCUAGUAGUCC
RNAcentral lists this ribosomal RNA (756 nucleotides) under uncultured bacterium. RNAcentral's name for it is "bacterial SSU rRNA". It matches the Rfam family "Bacterial small subunit ribosomal RNA", at positions 8 to 796 of the family's 1533-position model. The record is from RNAcentral.